This 267-nucleotide unclassified non-coding RNA is filed under the name uncultured fungus. RNAcentral's name for it is "sequence contains ITS1". The record is from RNAcentral. Lineage: Eukaryota; Fungi.
GAUACUCAAAAUCUGCGGCGACAUCGACCGGCUGGAGAGCGAGGCGGACUUCGUUUUCCGUUCGGCUCUGGCCAAGCUUUUCCGCGAGGAAUCCGAUACGCGGCAGAUCAUCAAGCUGAAGGAGAUCUAUCAGUUGCUCGAAUCGGUCACGGACAAGUGCGAGGACGUCGCCAACGUGAUCGAGGGCAUCGUGCUGGAGAACGCGUGAGCGCCGCGAGUGGUACGACCCUGGGGCGCAGCGUCGUGUCGAUAGCCACAAGCGCGGCG